Molecule: ribosomal RNA, 301 nt
Filed under: uncultured bacterium
Lineage: Bacteria
Description: partial 16S ribosomal RNA
Rfam family: Bacterial small subunit ribosomal RNA
Source: RNAcentral
CAGUAGCCGCGGUAAUACGUAGGGUGCGAGCGUUAAUCGGAAUUACUGGGCGUAAAGCGCACGCAGGCGGUCUGACAAGUCAGAUGUGAAAUCCCCGGGCUUAACCUGGGAACUGCAUUUGAAACUGUCAGGCUGGAGUCUUGUAGAGGGGGGUAGAAUUCCAGGUGUAGCGGUGAAAUGCGUAGAGAUCUGGAGGAAUACCGGUGGCGAAGGCGGCCCCCUGGACAAAGACUGACGCUCAGGUGCGAAAGCGUGGGGAGUAAACAGGAUUAGAUACCCGUGUAGUCCCUGUCUCUUAUAC